AGUUAAUUAGCUUAAAUAAAAGCUUAUACCUUGAAAGUAUAAGAUAAGAAUAGAUAUCUUAUUAACUU
This 68-nucleotide transfer RNA is filed under the name Alloeorhynchus bakeri. RNAcentral describes it as "tRNA-Ser". The record is from RNAcentral. Lineage: Eukaryota; Metazoa; Arthropoda; Insecta; Hemiptera; Nabidae.